This 785-nucleotide long non-coding RNA is filed under the name Bos taurus (domestic cattle). RNAcentral describes it as "long non-coding RNA NONBTAT001122". The record is from RNAcentral. Lineage: Eukaryota; Metazoa; Chordata; Mammalia; Artiodactyla; Bovidae.
CAGGCAGAGCAAAACAAAAGAUAUCCAUUACUUGAACAGGAAUACUUUUAAAACAUUAUAAGGUGUGAAUUUUAUAAGUUAACAAAAGAAUGUCUCAAUAGUAUAGCUUGAAAAAAGAAAAAGAGCCCAACAGUUAAAGCAUUAUAAUAGAUUUUUUGGUCAGUUGACAUUUGAUUAACAUCUUCAUUGUGUGCUAGUCUCCUGUUGUAUGGAUAACACCUGUUAGCUUGAAAAAAAAAUUUGCCUGUGGUUUAUUUAAUAUGCUUUACUUGUCCAAAAUUAAAAGCUUUUUUAAAAAGCAAGUAUGUAUUUGUCUUUAAAGUUGUGUCUAGUGGGAGGAAUUUAUCACUUUCCAAAAAUAAGGAUUAUGCAUAAUUAUUUUCCUCACCGUAUUGCUCUUUUUCCAUCUUUGAUUUCAUCUUUGAGAGGAAGAUGUCAGGGAACCAACUAAGUUGUUUUCAGUCUCGUCAGCCUUUGAAACUCGUGUCUGUUGCCUUUGCCAUCUACAGAUAAUCUUCCUUCGUGGUUCUUAUGCUGAAAGUGUUAGGGCUGUGCAGAGUGAGUUUCCUUAUCAUGUCUUCUGUUCAUCUCAGAAUUUCUCAGUUUUGAGCUUUCUUCAACUCUAGUAGGAUAAGGAAUUAUCUGCUCUCCACUUUAAAGUUAGCACUAUUUCCUUGUGUCAUUGAUUGCAUUGUUUUUAAACUGGUUCCUGACCUUUCAUAGUUAUAGCAGCUUGUGUCUCCCUCACGCUUGAUCCUUUCUUUUGCUUCUUAAGCCUACUUAGA